UGGGGAAUAUUGGACAAUGGGCGAAAGCCUGAUCCAGCCAUGCCGCGUGAGUGAUGAAGGCCCUAGGGUUGUAAAGCUCUUUUGUGCGGGAAGAUAAUGACGGUACCGCAAGAAUAAGACCAGGCUAACUUCGUGCCAGCAGCCGCGGUAAUACGAAGGGGGCUAGCGUUGCUCGGAAUCACUGGGCGUAAAGGGUGCGUAGGCGGGUUUCUAAGUCAGAGGUGAAAGCCUGGAGCUCAACUCCAGAACUGCCUUUGAUACUGGAAGGCUUGAGUUCGGUAGAGGUGAGUGGAACUGCGAGUGUAGAGGUGAAAUUCGUAGAUAUCCGCAAGAACACCAGUGGCGAAGGCGGCUCACUGGCCCGAUACUGACGCUGAGGCACGAAAGCGUGGGGAGCAAACA
RNAcentral lists this ribosomal RNA (402 nucleotides) under uncultured bacterium. RNAcentral's name for it is "bacterial SSU rRNA". It matches the Rfam family "Bacterial small subunit ribosomal RNA", at positions 355 to 774 of the family's 1533-position model. The record is from RNAcentral.